GAGAGAGAACGCUGGAACUGCUAAUUCCACACCCCCAUAAUUAAUACUAUGGCUUUCUCA
RNAcentral lists this transfer RNA (60 nucleotides) under Trinomys moojeni (Moojen's Atlantic spiny rat). Its description in RNAcentral is "tRNA-Ser". The record is from RNAcentral. Lineage: Eukaryota; Metazoa; Chordata; Mammalia; Rodentia; Echimyidae.